RNAcentral lists this ribosomal RNA (406 nucleotides) under Gammaproteobacteria bacterium. Its description in RNAcentral is "bacterial SSU rRNA". It matches the Rfam family "Bacterial small subunit ribosomal RNA", at positions 1 to 391 of the family's 1533-position model. The record is from RNAcentral. Lineage: Bacteria; Pseudomonadati; Pseudomonadota; Gammaproteobacteria.
AACUGAAGAGUUUGAUCAUGGCUCAGAUUGAACGCUGGCGGCAAGCCUAACACAUGCAAGUCGAACGGUAACGGACCGCUGUGAUCCCUUCGGGGUGAACUUGGUGCCGACGAGUGGCGGACGGGUGAGUAACGCGUAGGAAUCUGCCCAGUAGCGGGGGAUAGCUUGGGGAAACUCAAAUUAAUACCGCAUACGCCCUACGGGGGAAAGCAGGGGAUCUUCGGACCUUGCACUAUUGGAUGAGCCUGCGUUGGAUUAGCUUGUUGGUGGGGUAAAAGCCUACCAAGGCAACGAUCCAUAGCUGGUCUGAGAGGAUGAUCAGCCACACUGGGACUGAGACACGGCCCAGACUCCUACGGGAGGCAGCAGUGGGGAAUAUUGGACAAUGGGCGCAAGCCUGAUCCAG